AAGUCCAGUCAGAGCCUUUUAUAUAGUAGCAAUCAAAAGAACUACUUGGCC
RNAcentral lists this unclassified non-coding RNA (51 nucleotides) under Mus musculus (house mouse). Its description in RNAcentral is "immunoglobulin kappa light chain". Lineage: Eukaryota; Metazoa; Chordata; Mammalia; Rodentia; Muridae. The record is from RNAcentral.